RNAcentral lists this transfer RNA (75 nucleotides) under Klebsiella oxytoca. RNAcentral describes it as "tRNA-Gln". It matches the Rfam family "tRNA". From Rfam's summary of the family: Transfer RNA (tRNA) molecules are approximately 80 nucleotides in length. Their secondary structure includes four short double-helical elements and three loops (D, anti-codon, and T loops). Further hydrogen bonds mediate the characteristic L-shaped molecular structure. tRNAs have two regions of fundamental functional importance: the anti-codon, which is responsible for specific mRNA codon recognition, and the 3' end, to which the tRNAs corresponding amino acid is attached (by aminoacyl-tRNA synthetases). tRNAs cope with the degeneracy of the genetic code in two manners: having more than one tRNA (with a specific anti-codon) for a particular amino acid; and 'wobble' base-pairing, i.e. permitting non-standard base-pairing at the 3rd anti-codon position. Lineage: Bacteria; Pseudomonadati; Pseudomonadota; Gammaproteobacteria; Enterobacterales; Enterobacteriaceae. The record is from RNAcentral. RNAcentral also lists the same sequence under 4 other names.
AGCAGUUUAGCCAAGCGGUAAGGCAACGGACUCUGACCCCGUCAUUCAUAGGUUCGAUCCCUAUAACUGCUGCCA